GNAGGUGGANGGAAGAUCGCCGGCGNNCANGCAUCGNNCGCGGGAGGAAAGUCCGGGCUCCAUAGGACAGGGAAGUCGGUAACACCGACCCGGGGUGACCCGAGGGAAAGCGCAACAGAAAUNACACCGCCGAAGAGCAUCGAUCGACCUCCGGGCCGAGCGAUGUGGCGAGCGCUUCGCGUUCGCCCGGUAAGGGUGAAAUCGUGGGGUAAGAGCCCACGCGUGAGAGCCGGGUGACCGGCGACGAGGCAAGCCCUUCCCGGAGCAAGCUUGAAUAGGGGUGCCGUUGAGGCCGGUCCGGCCGAAUGCGCAUNCGAAAGGAUGACACGGCGCCCGGGUGAGAGCGCUCGAGCUUCGCGGCAACGCGAAGCCUAGAUGAAUGAUCUUCUCCGGUCCCACGGCAACGCGGGAUCGAGACAAAACCCGGCUUAAAGUCCACGCGGAUCA
RNAcentral lists this RNase P RNA (447 nucleotides) under Spirochaeta sp. Its description in RNAcentral is "RNase P RNA component class A". It matches the Rfam family "Bacterial RNase P class A". From Rfam's summary of the family: Ribonuclease P (RNase P) is a ubiquitous endoribonuclease, found in archaea, bacteria and eukarya as well as chloroplasts and mitochondria. Its best characterised activity is the generation of mature 5'-ends of tRNAs by cleaving the 5'-leader elements of precursor-tRNAs. Cellular RNase Ps are ribonucleoproteins. Lineage: Bacteria; Pseudomonadati; Spirochaetota; Spirochaetia; Spirochaetales; Spirochaetaceae. The record is from RNAcentral.